Astyanax mexicanus (Mexican tetra) is the source of this 1132-nucleotide long non-coding RNA. RefSeq lists it as uncharacterized. The transcript is spliced from 2 exons. The record is from RefSeq and is a predicted model, not a curated record. NCBI's taxonomy places the organism in Eukaryota, Metazoa, Chordata, Actinopteri, Characiformes, Acestrorhamphidae.
UCAGUUAAAACAGAGAAUCUCUAAUAGAGGGGAGAAGACCCACUUAAAAAUAGGUUUAUGGUUUGUUAGACCUCCAGAGGGCGCUCCAGAGACAGUCUAAAAUGAAUGAGUUCUUAUGGGGCAUUUGAGUAAAAUUUGAGUUUACACGUUUGAUCAUUUGUAUACUAAUAUUGUUUUUAUUCACUCAAACACAGAGCAAUAUUAAUUGUUUCUUAUAUGCUAAAAAAAUAAAUAAUAAUUAACUAUGGAAGUAAAACAGUGUCACCAGACUUUGAAAUUUAAAAGCACUUGAAUUUUUAGCACUGAAUUAUUUUACAUUGAAUUAUUGCAUGUGAUUUUUUUGCCUCUGAAUUAAACACUUUAAUUUUUCAGUAUAUCAUUUUCACUUAUUUUAUUUUAAUGUAAAAAAAUUCAAAAGCAAAAAUUCAAGUUUUAAAAAUUCAAUUAAAAUAAAUUCAGGUUGCUCAAAUUCGACCUGUCAAAUUCGACUGCUAAAAUACAACGCUCAAAAUUCGCUGUCAACAUCCGGGACACACAGGAUGAGCAAUCGAUUCAGUCUUCAAUCGAGCCAACAACCAGCCAAUCACAUCACGCUCCGAAGAUCACGUGACAGGUAGCGCCUCACGGCUCAGAGCCGCUCAACGCGAGUCACAGCCCCCUCCGCUGCUCCUCUGGAGUAGGUUGAAAAGAAGAUGGAGAAGUUUCAGCUUGCAGCUAUGGAGAGUUCACCACGAAAAGAACGAAGUCAAAGAAUACAAAGAUCUGUCCAUAUUCUGAAGUCACCACUUGAAGAUUUUAUGCAGAAUUAUUUGGAUUAUGAAUAGGAACCACAUUAUUUGCAACAGCUUGUAUUAUUUAUACAAACAAGAUGAACAUGAUAUGAUGUGCCAGAAUAUAGGGAGGCUGCCUAAAACAUACAAAAAAAAAAUACAGAACACAUGUAAACAACUAAAGAAAAACAGAACAUGGCACAUGUAAAUAAAUCAAAUAAACACAGCACAGACUGCAUGAAAUUGGUUUUCUUUAUUUGUUCUUUAAAAGUUUGGAGAAAGGAAACCUGUGGAAUACAAAAGAAACUUGAAAAAUUACUGCAUUUGAUACAUGGAUAUAAUUAAACAUUUUAAGAACAUUA